AUUUGCACGCAGGCCAGGUAGCCUAUUGUCCUAUGUGUAAUCAGGUGUGCAUCCUUACUCAACAUUUGCACGCAGGCCAGGUAGCCUAUUGUCCUAUGUGUAAUCAGGUGUGCAUCCUUACUCAACAUUUGCACGCAGGCCAGGUAGCCUAUUGUCCUAUGUGUAAUCAGGUGUGCAUCCUUACUCAACAUUUGCACGCAGGCCAGGUAGCCUAUUGUCCUAUGUGUAAUCAGGUGUGCAUCCUUACUCAACAUUUGCACGCAGGCCAGGUAGCCUAUUGUCCUAUGUGUAAUCAGGUGUGCAUCCUUACUCAACAUUUGCACGCAGGCCAGGUAGCCUAUUGUCCUAUGUGUAAUCAGGUGUGCAUCCUUACUCAACAUUUGCACGCAGGCCAGGUAGCCUAUUGUCCUAUGUGUAAUCAGGUGUGCAUCCUUACUCAACAUUUGCACGCAGGCCAGGUAGCCUAUUGUCCUAUGUGUAAUCAGGUGUGCAUCCUUACUCAACAUUUGCACGCAGGCCAGGUAGCCUAUUGUCCUAUGUGUAAUCAGG
Molecule: long non-coding RNA, 549 nt
Organism: Oncorhynchus keta (chum salmon)
Lineage: Eukaryota; Metazoa; Chordata; Actinopteri; Salmoniformes; Salmonidae
Exons: 3
Source: RefSeq, a predicted model, not a curated record